CGCCGCCACCUGCCAUCCUCAUCUACCCCCGAGCUGGCUCCUGCUGGCAUCUUUAUAUAUUCAUUCUGUUUCCAAAACCUCCCUCCAAGAAGCUACACGUCCAAUUGCAUUUCCCUUUUCUGCAAAAAGUUAAGUACACAGCAAUUGCUACAUGCUUUAGAGGUUUGCUUUACCGGGAAAGUGCUGCAAACUGGCCCCCAAUAAGGAAAUCAGAGUGAGUCACUUGGAGCUCUUGGCCUUUACACUUCAGGCUAUUAAAUCCAAAAUCCUAAGGAGUCCAACCCAGGUCCAAGAAGAGGAGCCUGAGGAGGUCCUUCCUAAAUGUUAAGGCACCUAGAAACAUUAGCCAAACAGAGUCUUGCUCUGUCACCCAGGCUGGAGUACAGUGGCAUGAUCUCGGCUCACUGCAACCUAUGCCUCCCAGGUUCAACCAAUUCUCCUGCCUCAGGCUCCCGAGUAGCUGGGACUACAGGUGCACACCACCAGGCCCGGGAAAAGAAAAAGACUGGCCUGAGGCGGAAAUAGAAGACACAAUAAAUCCUUCUGUGAACUCUUGCCAACCAUAUUUCUCCUUACUUCUGUCAACCCAUCCAUCAUGGAGCAAAUGUUCAGAGGACAGAAUAUGAACUUGUUUGGGGGUUGUUUUUCUCCAAUUGCCACAUUUUCUAGUUUGGAUCCCAGGCCUCAAACCCCAACCAUCAUAGGAAUGGUGCACUCAGUCAGAAGAAAGGCCUCUGGUGAAGAAACUCUCUGGGCACUUGGGAAUAAAGGAUCAAGGCUGCAGCCCAGGCCACGGCUGCAGGGCAAGCUGAGCCUCAGUCUGAAGCCACGUCUGAGUUUCCUUUCAGUGAGCAUCCUCUCAACCUCUUCAUCUAAUAAAUGUUUAUCAGGUGACAUUAUCAAACACUUGCCAUGUGAUGUUCAAAAUAGUUCAGAACGGCAAGACAUGGGCAUGGCACCAGCGCCAGU
RNAcentral lists this long non-coding RNA (969 nucleotides) under Homo sapiens (human). Its description in RNAcentral is "HSALNT0380771". The record is from RNAcentral. Lineage: Eukaryota; Metazoa; Chordata; Mammalia; Primates; Hominidae.